Long non-coding RNA from Branchiostoma floridae (Florida lancelet), 1510 nucleotides. RefSeq lists it as uncharacterized. The transcript is spliced from 2 exons. The record is from RefSeq and is a predicted model, not a curated record. Lineage: Eukaryota; Metazoa; Chordata; Leptocardii; Amphioxiformes; Branchiostomatidae.
AAUGGAACAUGCAAUUGAUAUGCGGUUUCAUUUGAUUCUUUUGUUUGCUUUUGACUAUCAAAUAAUUUUUUUCUUAAUUUUUGACGGUGUAAGCUGUAUGUAAGUGUUUCAUUUAAAGUUCAGCAGCAUUCCAGAUGUUUACGUGCAUUGAUACAAGAGUAGUGCUUCUGUCAUAUGCGGAAUCCACUCAGUGCAGGGCGGCCAUUGUGAGGUCAACCCAGAGGUACAAGAUGCCACAUGCGUCUGGUGAUCUUUGAAGUGUUCAGCUUCAAGUGUGAAAUCAUCUUAUACCUACUGCAGGAUGCUGAGACUAAACAACCAGCCCCUUGAUGGGAACAACAGUAGCUGUUGCAAUGUUAUCUUCCAUACACAUCCAAAUAUAAAACAGGUGACAGAGCAAAACUAUUGGCAAUGGCAGGACAUCCAGCUUACUCGGGUUGUUCUGUUAGGUCUUCAGUAUUACAGCUGUCAAGCCUCUUGGAAACCCAGACUUCGGGGAUUGUGCCUCUGGUACAGUGGGGGCUUGUUCAGCUAAGUUAGAUGAGUUUGCUGGAUGUCAAGGUCACAAAUAAUUUUUCGUUCCUUUUGCUCUUAUUCCUGAUUGUACUUUGCCUCAGCCUGGCCUGGUGGGGUAAUGACGCCGGAGCCUACUUACUGCUGUACAGGUGGAGCAAUGGCUGCGGGGACAUGCAUGUUGUAGACGUCAUACUGCUGUACCGGUAGGGUAAUGACGCCGGAGCCUCCAUACUGCUGUACCGGUGGGGUAAUGACUACCAUACUACGUCCGUGCGGCUUUGCCGUUUAACUCUGCCCAGUUUGCACUAGGCUGCCACUAAACGCGACAACCCCCCGGAAAACCUGUAGAAGUGAGUGUUCCUGAGAAUGAAAUAGAGAAGGAAUGAAUACUUUUCAUUGUUUUGAAGAUAGCAUAAGGGUCAAACUUAGACGUUCGGAAUUCGUUUCAUUGGUAUUAUCAAGGGCAUCUGAGUGUAGGCAUACAGACAAUGUAACUUUGUAUCUGAUGCCAAAAGUAAAUGUUUAAUUGUACUGCAGUGUUGCGAUGUUCCCUUGCUGGGCUGCACUGUCCAGCCCUUGCAAAAUGGCCUGCAGGUUCAUGGCGGUGAUGGCAUUUUUGUGCGCGGACGCCCUGCACUCCAACGCAUUUCUUCCAAUGGGAGGGCGUCUGGCGGAGAGCUGGUGUGUGUUGAUAACUACCACGCGACGCUGGAAAUGGUAUGACCGGUGACGCGGUUCAGUCCUGGGCGUAGCCGGUGCACUUGCAGGUUGGGCUGGUAUCCUGUUGUUGAUAUUGUUGGCUAGACAUUUCAAAGACAUCCCCCUCACCAGCAUCAGUCAUCCUGUGUGUUUGCAAAAAGUUUUAAUUAAAUCAAUGUCACAAGGGCCUUGAAAAGCAACAUUUAACUUUUCUCCAGGCAGUAUUAUUAUCUUUGUCACCUAAGUACAAAUCUUUGUCCCCAAAGUACAAAAUAAAUGUAGUCAGUGCAAUGUC